AGCAUCCCUCAAAGGUCACCAUCGGUGCCUUCUAGGGUUCUCCAGCUCUCAAACAAGAGAGGCUUCUUCUAAGGAAGCAAGCGCUGAAGAUAAAACGAGCACCAUUGCUCGCUGUUGGCAAGAGCAAUGUCAUCACCGGAGUUGCUAAAACAAUAAAGGAGCAUUUCCAAAAGCAUCCCCUCGCCAUAGUGAGUAUCAAGGGCAGAGCCAAGGGGACAUCUGCUCGGGAGGUGAUAUACAAUCUCCAGCAAGCAACAGGCGCCAUUCUUGUUUCUCACGAACCUAGCAAAGUGAUACUCUACAGAGGUUGGGGAUCAGGAAUAGAACCUGAGCCUGAUCAAGCACAAGGAGAGGUAAAGCCUCGUGCACUCGUAUCUCCCGAGCUCAUGUCAGCAAUCAGGCUCGAGUGUGGUUUGACAUCUUCCAUCAGAGAGCUAGCAGUUUCAGACGGCAUUCCCAGCAACAACUAACAGUUUCAGACACCAUUUCGCACUCAUCAGUUCAGGAAUCUGUACAGACAAAGCAUUUAUCUGGGGUUUGUGGAACUGAAAGCCCCCACCAUGUGAAGAUGUAUAAAGCAACUCGGAGUGAAUGGAUUCGUGCUGCUGUAUCAGAAUAUAUAUAUGCGUAUAAAUAUACAUCACUCUGUGAAUAUGUAUAUUUAUAGCCUAUGACUUUAUAUUCUACGUAUUUUUAUUGACUUUCGAUUUACUUAUUUUUAUGGCAGUAGUAAUCUUUUAAAAUAUUAGUACAUGUAUAUUAAAAUAAAAUUAGUUUAUUAAACUCAUUUAGCAUCUGAUAUACAGUCUAUACAGAUAGUGCCUAUCUCCGUAUAGUGUAUUAUGCUUUGUCAUUUUGAGUUUAUUUCCAAA
Salvia splendens (bonfire salvia) is the source of this 872-nucleotide long non-coding RNA. RefSeq lists it as uncharacterized. The transcript is spliced from 4 exons. The record is from RefSeq and is a predicted model, not a curated record. Lineage: Eukaryota; Viridiplantae; Streptophyta; Magnoliopsida; Lamiales; Lamiaceae.